RNAcentral lists this small RNA (121 nucleotides) under Arabidopsis thaliana (thale cress). Its description in RNAcentral is "ATSL083730". Lineage: Eukaryota; Viridiplantae; Streptophyta; Magnoliopsida; Brassicales; Brassicaceae. The record is from RNAcentral.
CAUAUACCUGCACUUAAAAAGUUCAUUAGACAUACGAAAGUUCCGUAAAGAGCCGGUUCAGUUUCCUUAACCGUUUUCUGGUUUCAAAAUAAUUUAAAUAUUUAAAAUUAUUAAUUUUAAA